RNAcentral lists this long non-coding RNA (1183 nucleotides) under Marmota monax (woodchuck). Lineage: Eukaryota; Metazoa; Chordata; Mammalia; Rodentia; Sciuridae. The record is from RNAcentral.
CUGGAGUUAGACUCACUAUAAUUUGAAUUCUGGCUCCACCCUGUUGUGGUCUCAAAGCUCAGACAACUCGCUUGACCUCGUGUUGUCUUUGUCCCUUGUGGAAGAUGAUAAAACCUGUCCCUCCUAUCUCCCACGGACAGCAAGGAAUGAGUAAUAACUUGGAUUAGAAUGUCCCUCGCAAUCUAUAAAGUGUGCUACCACUGUGGCCGUGACUUAUAGUGUAUUGCUACCCUUGUCAUGAGCACAUUUGUAGAGUUUUCAGUAAGCAAUCCAAUUCUGACCUGAGCAUCUGAGCUUUAAAAAUAAAGGGGUGGGGGGAGACCUUGUCUUAUUCCCCGUGUGUCUCAAAGACAAAUGCUGGCCUUGCUAAAUAUUAAGAUUGACGUUGUAGUCCCUAAAGUAUUUGGGUAUCCACGGGCUAAAUUUUUUUAUUAUUUUUAAAAUUUGUUUUAAUUAGCUCUACAUGACAGUAGAAUGCAUUUAUAUACUUUAUAUACAUAUAUAUCAUGUAUAUGAUAUAUCUAUGAUAUGUCGUACAUAAAUAGGGUAUGAUUUCUCAUUUUUCUGAUGGUACAUGUUGUAGAAUCACAUGGGUCAUGCAGUCAUAUAUGUACAUAAGGUAAUAAUGUCUAUUUCAUCCUACUAUUCUUCCUAUCCCCAUGUCCCCUCUCCUCCCCUCCCUUUGCUCCCCUCUAAUGUUACUCUAUUCUUCCCUAAUGUCCCCCACCCCUUCUUGUGCCAUUGGCUGAAUUUAUGCCCUAAGACGAUAAUGUCUUAAGCAUAAAUUGACCAAAACAAACUUCAUUCAGAAGGUCACUGGUGCUGUGGAUGCAGCAGGGUAGGGAGUUUGGGAAUCUUAGGGGUCAGUGGUUGCUUUUUCUGUGAGGUGGUCAGGAAGGACCUGGCAAAAGGGUGACAUCUGAGCAGAGACCUGAAGGAAGGGAGGGGUGUGAAUGUGGAAGGAAAGAACAUCCCAGGCAAGGGCAUCAGCAAGCGCAUCAGCAGGGCAUCAGCAGGGGCAUCAGCAGGGGCAUCAGCAGGGGCAUCAGCAGGGGCAUCAGCAAGCGCAUCAGCAGGGCAUUAGCAAGCGCAUCAGCAGGGCAUCAGCAGGGGCAUCAGCAGGGGCAUCAGCAGGGAUUCGUGUGCUUGGGGUGGUCAGGUCAUGUACAGCCUUGGAGGCCAC